RNAcentral lists this transfer RNA (90 nucleotides) under Actinomycetota bacterium. RNAcentral's name for it is "Actinobacteria bacterium (freshwater metagenome) tRNA-Ser". It matches the Rfam family "tRNA". From Rfam's summary of the family: Transfer RNA (tRNA) molecules are approximately 80 nucleotides in length. Their secondary structure includes four short double-helical elements and three loops (D, anti-codon, and T loops). The record is from RNAcentral. Lineage: Bacteria; Bacillati; Actinomycetota.
GGAGAGGUGUCCGAGCGGCCUAAGGAGCGCGACUGGAAAUCGCGUAGUCGGGCAUUCCCCGGCUCGAGGGUUCAAAUCCCUCCCUCUCCG